CCAGCAUUGGCAGCACCGCCACCAGCACCUCCGGCCUCAGGACCAAGCCCACCUCCAGCGGGCGUUGACGGAGGCGGGUGUGCGGCUCUGGCGCAGCUGAGCCGUCGACCGCCGGAGCCAAUCCGGCAGUCCGGCAUUUCAGCUGCCGCACACUCGCCCGUCACAGGAUCAGAGGCCUCCCGAGACAGCCAUCACGAUCAGCUGGUGUAGGCCAUCCACGACAGAUGAGUGCUAUACAAGCCUGCCUCCGCCGUGCUUGGAGAGCUGUCUCACCCAACGGCCGUUUGUGCCGCCACCAAUCGGCUGCGAGUAGCACACACCGAGUGCUACUCGGGGCCGGAUGGCUGCCGUGUCUUCCCUCAGGAAAUGGUGGGCUCUGCACUACCUGAGGGGUCUCGGGCGAUAACAGAGACGCAGUCCGAUGUGGCAGCCUCCACGUGGCGGAUUGCGGGUCAUGCUAAUAGCCACACAGAGCCACACGUAAGUAUUGCACUGUAGUAUUCACCAGAUUUGAGUGUGUUGCAGGAGCCUGACAUGUGACGUCACCUGUACCGCUGUUUCCGCUUCUAAUGACGACGUGGUCAGGUGUCGGCUCUGCUGCAGUGUCCAGAGGACGCACGGGUUCUCCGACAUCAUCAUCUUGGUCGCGGUGGCGACUGUAUCCGCCAGUGGGGGUGGUAUUCAGGAGAUCACUAACCUCUCGUCCUAUUCUCCUCUCCAUGCGGUGUACUCGACAACCACAGGUUCCGGACCAGACCGGUAGGCGGCGCUAGUGUCGCUGACGUGCUCUGUCUGCGGCUCUGUGCUCCCCUCCUCUGCCCGCUGCUCCUGUUGCUCUACCCAGACCUCACAGGUGGGUCCCCCUCUUCUGGUGGUGUCUACUACACACAUUGUCAGAUGGCCGGUACAGUGAUAAGUAAUGGACAGUGCACAGUGGACCGUGGUGCAAUAUAUAUUGACGAUAAACCAGUCUGUGUUGUUUGUCACGCCGAUGUUGUUUACUAUUUAUGGCGACUCCGUUUGCUGUGUAGUGUGUGUGUCACACAUAUCAUCUAUGGUGUUUGUUGUGUGUUUGUUGUGACUCUGUUGUGUUUGUUGUCUGUUACAGGUCCGGCCCGUACCGACAUUGACUCACGACGAGUCUACUGAGUCAUACAGAGUCAUGGGGAGUCAUCCAGAGUCAACGGAUUUCAUGGGAGUGAACAUAGGUGUCGAGGAGUCCUCCGGAGUCAGCGAAGUCAUUCAGAGUCUAUAAUAGAGUCCUGGGAGUGAAAAUGAGCUGUGUUAGCGGGUUAAGACGCUGUUUAUACGUAUCCCGGCUAGGCGGGCCGUCGCUCGGUGCCCGGCGGUCGGUGCGCCGCGCCGCCCGCCCAUGUGUCACGGCUGGCCGGCUGUGCGGGUGUCUCCUGUCCGCCGGCCCGGUGAUCGGUCCGUACCACGAGGGCUGAGAGGGGACGGGCCCCGCGGCGGUCAGCAGCAGCUCAGAGAGGCCUCGGCCGGUCAGCCGACGGUCAGCGGUGUGUGUCCGACGGGUCCGACGGCGGCCUUACAGACGUGAGAACGGACCCGAGCAGCCGAGCUGAGGGCCAGCUGCCCAUUCUGAUCGGCGUGUCCUACACUUGUCAGACACUGCAGCCUAUACUGAUCUUGAAUACACUUUGUAUAUGUGAA
Amphibalanus amphitrite is the source of this 1671-nucleotide long non-coding RNA. RefSeq lists it as uncharacterized. The transcript is spliced from 3 exons. The record is from RefSeq and is a predicted model, not a curated record. Lineage: Eukaryota; Metazoa; Arthropoda; Thecostraca; Balanomorpha; Balanidae.